Molecule: ribosomal RNA, 460 nt
Filed under: uncultured bacterium
Lineage: Bacteria
Description: partial 16S ribosomal RNA
Rfam family: Bacterial small subunit ribosomal RNA
Source: RNAcentral
CCUACGGGAGGCAGCAGUAAGGAAUAUUGGUCAAUGGGCGCGAGCCUGAACCAGCCAAGUAGCGUGAAGGAUGCCUGCCCUACGGGUUUUAAACUUCUUUUAUAAAGGAGUAAAGUGAGGCAUGUGUGCAUUUUUGUAUGUACUUUAUGACUAAGGAUCGGCUAACUACGUCCCAGCAGCCGCGGUAAUACGGAGGAUCCGAGCGUUAUCCGGAUUUAUUGGGGUUAAAGGGAGCGUAGAUGGGUUGUUAAGUCAGUUGUGAAAGUUUGCGGCUCAACCGUAAAAUUGCAAUUGAGACUGGCAGCCUUGAGUACAGUUGAGGUAGGCGGAAUUCUUGGUGUAGCGGUGAAAUGCUUAGAUAUCACGAAGAACUCCGAUUGCGAAGGCAGCUUACUAAACUGCCACUGACAUUGAUGCUCGAAAGUGUGGGGAUCAAACAGGAUUAGAUACCCCUGUAGUC